GAUGAAGUUUGCAGGCUAUGGCUUGGAGACUCUUGAGACUGGGCUGCUCUGAUACGAGUAAGAUUCAAGGUCAGAUGCAACUGGCUAAUCUGAGGAGGCAUCUAAUGAGUUGCCAGCCUCCCAUAAUGUCCACAA
Nothoprocta perdicaria is the source of this 135-nucleotide long non-coding RNA. RefSeq lists it as uncharacterized. The transcript has 2 exons. The record is from RefSeq and is a predicted model, not a curated record. NCBI's taxonomy places the organism in Eukaryota, Metazoa, Chordata, Aves, Tinamiformes, Tinamidae.